This 301-nucleotide ribosomal RNA is filed under the name uncultured bacterium. RNAcentral describes it as "partial 16S ribosomal RNA". It matches the Rfam family "Bacterial small subunit ribosomal RNA", at positions 509 to 807 of the family's 1533-position model. The record is from RNAcentral.
CAGCCGCCGCGGGAAUACGGAGGGGGCUAGCGUUGUUCGGAAUUACUGGGCGUAAAGCGUACGUAGGCGGCUUUGUAAGUUAGAGGUGAAAGCCUGGUGCUCAACACCAGAACUGCCUUUAAGACUGCAUCGCUUGAACGUCGGAGAGGUGAGUGGAAUUCCGAGUGUAGAGGUGAAAUUCGUAGAUAUUCGGAAGAACACCAGUGGCGAAGGCGGCUCACUGGCUCAUUCUAGACGCUGAGGUGCGAAAGCGUGGGGAGCAAACAGGAUUAGAUACCCGCGUAGUCCCUGUCUCUUAUAC